GCGGUGGAUUAUGUGGAUUAAUUCGAUGCAACGCGAAAACCUUACCUACCCUUGACAUGCUAGGAAGUCCGCAGAGAUGUGGAUGUGCCCGAAAGGGAACCUAGACACAGGUGCUGCAUGGCUGUCGUCAGCUCGUGUCGUGAGAUGUUGGGUUAAGUCCCGCAACGAGCGCAACCCUUGCCAUUAGUUGCGACAUUUAGUUGAGCACUCUAAUGGGACCGCCGGUGACAAACCGGAGGAAGGUGGGGAUGACGUCAAGUCCUCAUGGCCCUUAUGGGUAGGGCUUCACACGUAAUACAAUGGUCGGUACAGAGGGCUGCCAACCCGCGAGGGGGAGCUAAUCCCAGAAAGCCGAUCGUAGUCCGGAUUGUAGUCUGCAACUCGACUGCAUGAAGCCGGAAUCGCUAGUAAUCGCGGAUCAGCAUGUCGCGGUGAAUACGUUCCCGGGUCUU
RNAcentral lists this ribosomal RNA (452 nucleotides) under uncultured beta proteobacterium. Its description in RNAcentral is "bacterial SSU rRNA". It matches the Rfam family "Bacterial small subunit ribosomal RNA", at positions 929 to 1382 of the family's 1533-position model. The record is from RNAcentral. Lineage: Bacteria; Pseudomonadati; Pseudomonadota; Betaproteobacteria.